Molecule: ribosomal RNA, 451 nt
Filed under: uncultured Synergistota bacterium
Lineage: Bacteria; Thermotogati; Synergistota
Description: bacterial SSU rRNA
Rfam family: Bacterial small subunit ribosomal RNA
Source: RNAcentral
GGGCCCGCACAAGCGGUGGAGCACGUGGUUUAAUUCGAUGCAAACCGAAGAACCUUACCUGGGUUUGACAUGUAGGUGUUAGUGAGAUGAAAGUCGAGCGACCUUGGCUUGCCAAGGUGCCUAUGCAGGUGCUGCAUGGCUGUCGUCAGCUCGUGUCGUGAGAUGUUGGGUUAAGUCCCGCAACGAGCGCAACCCUUGUUGUCAGUUGCCAUCGGGAGAGCCGGGCACUCUGGCGAGACUGCCGCCGACAAGGCGGAGGAAGGUGGGGACGACGUCAAGUCAUCAUGGCCUUUAUGCCCAGGGCGACACACGUGCUACAAUGGGGCGCACAGAGGGAAGCGAAGGAGCGAUUCGGAGCGGAUCCCAGAAAGCGUUUCUCAGUUCGGAUUGCAGUCUGCAACUCGGCUGCAGUGAAGCCGGAAUCGCUAGUAAUCGCGGAUCAGCCAAGCCG